UGACUGAAGUGAGAUAAACCCUUAAGAUUUUCCAUGUAAAACUUUGCACGUGUUCAUUAUAUAUGUAGAGGCACCAACACAUAUUUUUAGCCAAAUCUGAGUCUGUCACCAUGGGACCUCUGGUUG
Thalassophryne amazonica is the source of this 126-nucleotide long non-coding RNA. RefSeq lists it as uncharacterized. Lineage: Eukaryota; Metazoa; Chordata; Actinopteri; Batrachoidiformes; Batrachoididae. The transcript has 3 exons. The record is from RefSeq and is a predicted model, not a curated record.